This is a long non-coding RNA of Pundamilia nyererei, 176 nucleotides long. RefSeq lists it as uncharacterized. The transcript is spliced from 3 exons. The record is from RefSeq and is a predicted model, not a curated record. Lineage: Eukaryota; Metazoa; Chordata; Actinopteri; Cichliformes; Cichlidae.
UGUGGGGAACAUGAGAGCCAGACCAAAGCUCAGAGGAACCAGCCUGGACCUCCACCCAGCUCUGGGUCCUUACAGAGUGACGCAUCUAAACAGGCAGAGCCUCUGUUUGCUACAAAGAGAGAGGGCCAACAGAGCUCAUCAGAGAUUCCCAGUAGUCAGCAUCAACCACAACUGGA